CGGAGAUCUUCGUCACCGACGAGGCCGGCUACGUCGACUCCGACCCCGGCCACGGCUUCGAGGACAUCCGCGAGCAGAUCUUCGGCUCCGCCGACACCUCCGCCGUGCCGGCCCCCAUGUCCGGCUUCGCCCAGAACGCCCGCGGGAUGGGCCUCGGCAUGCCGCAGAACGUCAUGAGCGGGUUCAAGCCGGAGUCCGUGCCGGUCUACGCCGCCCUCGCCGACGAGUUCGCCGUGUUCGACCGGUGGUUCGCCUCCGUGCCCACCUCCACCCAGCCCAAUCGCCUCUACGUCCAUUCCGCGACCUCCCAUGGCCUCACCUUCAAUGCCCGCAAGGACCUCAUCCAUGGCUUCCCGCAGAAGACCAUCUUCGAUAGCCUCGAGGAGAACGGCUUGUCCUUUGGC
This 404-nucleotide long non-coding RNA is filed under the name Oryza sativa (Asian cultivated rice). RNAcentral's name for it is "long non-coding RNA (OSAT_LNC000667)". Lineage: Eukaryota; Viridiplantae; Streptophyta; Magnoliopsida; Poales; Poaceae. The record is from RNAcentral.